Molecule: ribosomal RNA, 253 nt
Filed under: uncultured bacterium
Lineage: Bacteria
Description: partial 16S ribosomal RNA
Rfam family: Bacterial small subunit ribosomal RNA
Source: RNAcentral
UACGGAGGGUGCGAGCGUUAUCCGGAAUUACUGGGUUUAAAGGGUGCGUAGGCGGCCAUGUAAGUCAGGAGUGAAAGUUUGCGGCUCAACCGUAAAAUUGCUUUUGAUACUGCAUGGCUGGAAUCAGGAUGAGGUCAGCGGAAUGUGGCAUGUAGCGGUGAAAUGCAUAGAUAUGCCAUAGAACACCAAUUGCGAAGGCAGCUGGCUAGACCUGUAUUGACGCUGAGGCACGAAAGCGUGGGGAGCGAACCGG